This is a long non-coding RNA of Oreochromis aureus, 998 nucleotides long. NCBI's taxonomy places the organism in Eukaryota, Metazoa, Chordata, Actinopteri, Cichliformes, Cichlidae. The record is from Ensembl.
GUUACAGUAACUGUGUCAGGAGCUGACAGCUCUUCAUCUCCUGUGUGGUUGAUUGUUGGACUGGUUUGUGGAGUCUCUCUCAUUAUUAUUCUCCUGCUCUUGUUGUAUCGCUGCAGACAGUCCAAGUAUUCCUGCUUCACCAGGUCGAUUCAGUCUGAGAGUCACAGUCCGGGCUCCUCCACAAAUCAUGGAGUCAACCAGGAUGAAACUCAUGAAUACAACUCUCUUCAUCCUGGAGCAGAUGACCCCAGAGAUGUCACAUACUCUCUUAUUGAACUUAAAACCCUUGGAAAGAAGAGGAAGCAUCAUAAACCAGAGCAGAGUGCUGUUUACUCUGAGGUGAAGACGGGAGCUGCAGAGGACAGUCUGAUGGUCAAACGCCCCAAAAAAGAAAAAGCCAAGAAAAAAGCAGGAAGAUCAAGUCCUGCAGCUGAUGCAGCAGUUUAUUCUGAAGUCACAUUAGGAAGCUUUCCUGGUCAGUGAGGAGAGCUGCAGCAGCAAAGCCAAAAAGAAGCAUUUUAUGAAUCCACUGUUGCUCCUCUGCUGCCCAAAUAUCAGACAUGCUCAGUCUUUAGUUUUAAAGAUAUUGAAUAAUAAUAUGAUAAAGAUUUGGCACUGUAUUUUAGUAUAAAGCACACAGAGGCGUGUCCUGUUUCAGAUCCAUGUUCUUUUUGUUCAGCUGGUAUUUUGUAUUCAUUGUUGAGCUUUUGUAUCAAACUUUGGCUGUGUCCUAUACCAACAGCAGUGAGAAAAAAGUUUGUGAUUUUUAGUAGCUGAUAGCAGUAACUUAAAUUCAGCAGAGUUACAUUAGUGCUGGUAUUUACACCAACAAAUACUUACUGAGUUUAAAGAUCUGCAUCACGUAAAAAUGAAAUAUUUGGUAUAAAACAUGAAAAAGCUCUGGCUGCUUCACGAUUCAUUUAAUGUCAUACUUUUAGUGAAGCUGUGCAUUUUAUCUUUUAUUUUAUUUUAUUUAAAUAAAUCUAACCUUGACUUCA